Molecule: ribosomal RNA, 668 nt
Filed under: Agrobacterium arsenijevicii
Lineage: Bacteria; Pseudomonadati; Pseudomonadota; Alphaproteobacteria; Hyphomicrobiales; Rhizobiaceae
Description: bacterial SSU rRNA
Rfam family: Bacterial small subunit ribosomal RNA
Source: RNAcentral
GGCUCAGAACGAACGCUGGCGGCAGGCUUAACACAUGCAAGUCGAACGCCCCGCAAGGGGAGUGGCAGACGGGUGAGUAACGCGUGGGAAUCUACCGUGCCCUGCGGAAUAGCUCCGGGAAACUGGAAUUAAUACCGCAUACGCCCUACGGGGGAAAGAUUUAUCGGGGUAUGAUGAGCCCGCGUUGGAUUAGCUAGUUGGUGGGGUAAAGGCCUACCAAGGCGACGAUCCAUAGCUGGUCUGAGAGGAUGAUCAGCCACAUUGGGACUGAGACACGGCCCAAACUCCUACGGGAGGCAGCAGUGGGGAAUAUUGGACAAUGGGCGCAAGCCUGAUCCAGCCAUGCCGCGUGAGUGAUGAAGGCCUUAGGGUUGUAAAGCUCUUUCACCGGAGAAGAUAAUGACGGUAUCCGGAGAAGAAGCCCCGGCUAACUUCGUGCCAGCAGCCGCGGUAAUACGAAGGGGGCUAGCGUUGUUCGGAAUUACUGGGCGUAAAGCGCACGUAGGCGGAUAUUUAAGUCAGGGGUGAAAUCCCAGAGCUCAACUCUGGAACUGCCUUUGAUACUGGGUAUCUUGAGUAUGGAAGAGGUAAGUGGAAUUCCGAGUGUAGAGGUGAAAUUCGUAGAUAUUCGGAGGAACACCAGUGGCGAAGGCGGCUUACUGGUCCAU